This 229-nucleotide ribosomal RNA is filed under the name uncultured bacterium. RNAcentral's name for it is "partial 16S ribosomal RNA". It matches the Rfam family "Bacterial small subunit ribosomal RNA", at positions 568 to 796 of the family's 1533-position model. The record is from RNAcentral.
CGCGUAGGCGGUCUUGUCGGUCAGAUGUGAAAGCCCAGGGCUCAACCCUGGACGUGCAUUUGAAACAGCAAGACUUGAGUACGGGGGAGGAAAGCGGAAUUCCUGGUGUAGAGGUGAAAUUCGUAGAUAUCAGGAGGAACACCGAUGGCGAAGGCAGCUUUCUGGACCGAUACUGACGCUGAGGCGCGAAGGCGUGGGUAGCGAACAGGAUUAGAUACCCUGGUAGUCC